CCGACUGCUAUCGGAUUGGGAUUUAGCCAUGUUAGUUGUGCGUUCCUGGCUACAGGCGCGCAGCGUACGGCUCAGUAACACGUAGUCAACCUGCCCUGGAGACGCGGAAAAGCCCGGGAAACUGGGGUUAAUCCGCGAUAGAUGACCUCAUCUGGAAGGAGAGGUCGUUCAAAAGGUAUCAUGGGUAUGCUCUGUGACUUCGCUCCAGGAUGGGACUGCGGCCGAUCAGGCUGUUGGCGGGGUAAUGGCCCACCAAACCUGUAACCGGUACGGGCUUUGAGAGAAGGAGCCCGGAGAUGGACACUGAGACAAGGGUCCAGGCCCUACGGGGCGCAUCAGGCGCGAAAACUUCGCAAUGCGCGAAAGCGUGACGAGGCUAGUCCGAGUGCUCUCCGCUAAGGAGGGCUUUUCUCGGCUGUAAAUAGGCCGGGGAAUAAGGGGAGGGCAAGUCUGGUGUCAGCCGCCGCGGUAAUACCAGCUCCUCGAGUGGUCGGGACGAUUAUUGGGCCUAAAGCACCCGUAGCCGGUUCCGUAAGUCCUCUGUUAAAUCCAGUCGCUCAACGGCUGGUCUGCAGGGGAUACUGCGGGACUAGGAGGCGGGAGAGGCGGACGGUACUCCGCGUGUAGGGGUAA
This 633-nucleotide ribosomal RNA is filed under the name uncultured archaeon. RNAcentral's name for it is "bacterial SSU rRNA". It matches the Rfam family "Archaeal small subunit ribosomal RNA", at positions 23 to 635 of the family's 1478-position model. The record is from RNAcentral.